RNAcentral lists this ribosomal RNA (258 nucleotides) under uncultured bacterium. RNAcentral's name for it is "partial 16S ribosomal RNA". It matches the Rfam family "Bacterial small subunit ribosomal RNA", at positions 96 to 354 of the family's 1533-position model. The record is from RNAcentral.
UGGCGGACGGGUGAGUAACGCGUGGGUAACCUGCCUUACACAGGGGGAUAACACCUGGAAACAGGUGCUAAUACCGCAUAAGCGCACAGGGCCGCAUGGCCCGGUGUGAAAAACUCCGGUGGUGUAAGAUGGACCCGCGUCUGAUUAGCUUGUUGGCGGGGUAGAGGCCCACCAAGGCGACGAUCAGUAGCCGGCCUGAGAGGGUGGACGGUCACAUUGGGACUGAGACACGGCCCAAACUCCUACGGGAGGCAGCAG